GUUUUCUGCCGGGUCGAGUCAGGGUCGCCUUCCUCGAGCUCUGAGUUAUCCAUCAAGCGGAGUCAACCUGAAAGCUAGGUGCAUUUCCCUGGAGAUAUAGGGAUCAGAGAGAAGAGGGGCGAGAGGGACCAACGGAUGGGGAGUAAUAAAGUUUAUGAGAGGGUGUGGGGCAGUCUUCUGUACCAUGGGGAAGUCC
Molecule: long non-coding RNA, 196 nt
Filed under: Mus pahari (shrew mouse)
Lineage: Eukaryota; Metazoa; Chordata; Mammalia; Rodentia; Muridae
Description: sRNA (MGP_PahariEiJ_G0008172.1)
Rfam family: Vax2os1 conserved region 3
Source: RNAcentral